GACGAACGCUGGCGGCGUGCUUAAUACAUGCAAGUCGAACGGAAAGGCGCUGCUUUUGUGGGGUGCUUGAGUGGCGAACGGGUGAGUAACACGUGAGUAAACUGCCCCUGACUUUGGGAUAACUUCAGGAAACUGGGGAUCAUAUCGGAUAGGAGCUCUUGCUGCAUGGUGGGGGUAGGAAAGUUUCGGUGGUUGGGGAUGGACUCGAGGCUUAUCCGCUUGUUGGUGGGGUAGUGGCGUAGCAAGGUUUUGACGGGUAGCCGGCCUGGGAGGGUGACCCGCCACAGUGUGACUGAGAUACGGCCCAGACUGCUACGUGAGGCAUCAGUGGGGAAUAGUGCACAAUAGGCCGAAGCCUGAUGCAGCAUCGCCGCGUGCGGGAUGACGGCCUUCGGGUUGUAAACCGCUUUCGCCUGUGACGAAGCGUGAGUGACGGUAAUAAGUAGAGAAGCACCGGCUAACUACGU
This 467-nucleotide ribosomal RNA is filed under the name uncultured bacterium. RNAcentral describes it as "partial 16S ribosomal RNA". It matches the Rfam family "Bacterial small subunit ribosomal RNA", at positions 28 to 506 of the family's 1533-position model. The record is from RNAcentral.